This 30-nucleotide small RNA is filed under the name Bombyx mori (domestic silkworm). Its description in RNAcentral is "ovarian small RNA-824". The record is from RNAcentral. Lineage: Eukaryota; Metazoa; Arthropoda; Insecta; Lepidoptera; Bombycidae.
UACAAGCUAACAAUUAUGGUCUUGGCCAUC